Molecule: small RNA, 174 nt
Filed under: Sphingopyxis sp.
Lineage: Bacteria; Pseudomonadati; Pseudomonadota; Alphaproteobacteria; Sphingomonadales; Sphingopyxidaceae
Description: Manganese sequence
Rfam family: Manganese Mn2+ riboswitch aptamer (yybP-ykoY)
About the family: This RNA was originally discovered in E. coli during a large scale screen and was named SraF. The family was later found to exist upstream of related families of protein genes in many bacteria, including the the yybP and ykoK genes in B. subtilis. The specific functions of these proteins are unknown, but this structured RNA element may be involved in their genetic regulation as a riboswitch.
Source: RNAcentral
GCCUCCGUCAUCUGGGGAGUAGCCAGCCGUCGUUCGCGACGGGCCACCGUGUCAACAUACUCGGCCGAGAGGUCGUGGUGCGGUGGAAGCGGGAGACCGCUUGGGCGAGACCAAUGGCAUCGACCUUCGUCCGGGCCGGGCGGCGGGUUCGAUGUCUAUUGGAAUCGCGAAGCC